RNAcentral lists this small RNA (291 nucleotides) under Cellulomonas timonensis. Its description in RNAcentral is "5' ureB small RNA". It matches the Rfam family "5' ureB small RNA". Lineage: Bacteria; Bacillati; Actinomycetota; Actinomycetes; Micrococcales; Cellulomonadaceae. The record is from RNAcentral.
GGCCUGCUGCGGCGAGAUGUAGUGCACGUGCGGGUCGAUGGCGCCAGCGGUCGCAAUGAGGUGCUCGCCGGCGAUGAACUCCGUCCCGGUGCCCACCACGAGGCGCGGAUCGACGCCGUCCUGCAGGUGCGGGUUGCCGGACUUGCCGACAGCCGCGAUCUUGCCGUCCUUGACGCCGAUGUCGCCUUUCACCACGCCGAGCACCGGGUCGAUGAUGAUCGCGUUGGUGAUGACCAGGUCGAGCACGCCCUGCGGGCCCGUCACGUUCGGGUCCGCGCCCAUGCCGUCGCG